GAAUCACAAGGACUCAAGAUAAUUUUACUGUAACACCUCCUAGCCUUUGAAAAUAAACGCGGUAUUUUUCCCUUACAGAUUGAUUAUUACUUAAAUCCUAAGAACUAUAACCUAUCUUAUUACCAAAUUUUUAUACUGAAUAUUAUAAUUUUUUUUGUUACUCGAAAUUUAUGAUUAUUAACUCUUUUUUUUUUUCUUUUAGUUCCAAAAAAGGAGACAGCAAAUUUUAUGGACGUCACAUAUAUAUAAAUAUAUCAAGGACAACACAACGUUUACGCUUCUUUCCGGAGGAAACAGAUUUUGAACGCCAGGCAAACCCUCAAAUGAAGCUGGACUUGUUGACUGGUCCUUUUACAAUGCCGGCGUUCUGGGCGGGAUCAAUAACCGGCACAGCAAAAAGCUCAAAGUUGCAGCUGGCCAGUUUACAAUUCAAAUCCCCACACCCUCAAUGUAACUUUUUUGGCUUUUUUUUCCUGUGGACAACUUGCCACUACCUUGCGUUACCAAAAAGAAAAGGCAAUUUCCCGCCGUUGUGCUGACCAAAACCGGACAAUUUUCGGUGCUUCCAAAAAAGGCUUGAUACACCACCGGAAUAUUCACAAUAAAAAAAAAUCGCAACACACAAAUUAAAUUUUUCCACUUCUUCACUGCUCUCUAGCUAAGUUUCACCGGUAACGUCUUAUUCUCAACUUUCUUUUCUUAUGCUCGCAGCCUUUUAUACCCCUCUUCUCAGUGAAUCCCGCCAGACGCUCAUUUUCCACGAAACACCAUUUUCCUGAGCCAUUUUCAAUUUUCAUUCCUUUUUCUUUUCAACUGUCAAUAGCCAUUUUUUUAUUCUAUUGUGAAUUCUCAUUUCAGCUCACCCCGGAGUAGUAGUAGGUUCCCACCUACUCAGCAAUCAUAGGGCUGCCUAGUCACUUCUUAGCCUGAGUCACCCUGUCAUUCACUACCUUUAUAAUACUCUUUAACUCAACCCUGUUCGAGCCUAAUUUCGUACGUAGCGAACCCUAUCAAACCAUUUCCGGCAUUUUGAUCCCAUCGCCACCCAGACUACACACCCCGCAGAAAUUACAAGCAAAUUGAAAUCUCGAAGCAUCCUCACCAUCCUCACUAAAAACCCAAGAAAACUGAGCAAAUCCAUUUGAGGACCAAUUAUGGGAUGCACUACCAACAGAAUUGGGAUAAUUUCUGCGGUGGUUGUGGACAGGUUUUGCCAAAAAACACGGCCCCAUAUAUUUGUUGCCUUUUUGCGCCGCAUGUGAACGGCCUGCAACAAAACUUCAACUUCGGCCACAAAAUCGAGGACGGAGGUGAUGUGCACGGCCGCAUUACUCAUUUACGUGGGGACAUCCCACUCCCUGAAGGUCUCAUGCCGGGCAUAAGCUCCGAACAGCAGGCUGGUCAAAGCCCUCCCCCUCAUGCUGAUCUGUGAAACAUGUCUUGCUAGUUCGCCUGAUAAUUCUCGAUCCGACACCCUGAAAAUAUCGUGUCACUACCAAACAUCGAUCGAGUUCCGAGUCCGGGAAACUCGCUGGUAAUUCCCCUAUAGCAGGUCAACAUUUGGGAAGAUCAAAAACGCUCAUAAAUUUUACAAUACGCAUUCGGUUAUUUAUAAAAUCCCGCAUUCAGUAUUUCUACUAAGACAAGUUCAGAGGAACGGAUGGGAUUUAUCGGCCCACUCCUUUGGGACCUUCACUACAAAAAGGUAAACAUCCGGAACAACCCAAUAAUUCUACCAACCCAAGACCUUGUGUGGAGUUGGAAUAUAUUUGUCCUCUCUGGCGGAUCCACACUGGUAACACCCAACAGCUCUAAAUGAAAAAUUCUCCGAUUUCAUCAAAAUUUCACACAUUCUUCUUGGUUAUGGAUAUAAUCUUCAAAGUUGGAAUCUAUACGUACUUUGAUACACAAAUAAUUUGAUCAAAUUAUUGAAAUCAUGGUACAAUAAAAAAGUAAGGUGGUGAAACAUUUUGCAUGCGGAAAUAUUUGUGCCUAUGCCUGUCUUGUCGUCGUGGUUGCCGAAGAACGGAUUUUGUAUGCGGUAUUUGCUGAUGUGAUUGAUAGUUCCAAAAAAGGAGACAGCAAAUUUUAUGGACGUCACAUAUAUAUAAAUAUAUCAAGGACAACACAACGUUUACGCUUCUUUCCGGAGGAAACAGAUUUUGAACGCCAGGCAAACCCUCAAAUGAAGCUGGACUUGUUGACUGGUCCUUUUACAAUGCCGGCGUUCUGGGCGG
Molecule: RNA transcript, 2237 nt
Organism: Musca domestica (house fly)
Lineage: Eukaryota; Metazoa; Arthropoda; Insecta; Diptera; Muscidae
Exons: 6
Source: RefSeq, a predicted model, not a curated record